UACGGAGGGUGCGAGCGUUAAUCGGAAUUACUGGGCGUAAAGCGUGCGCAGGCGGCUUUGCAAGACAGAUGUGAAAUCCCCGGGCUCAACCUGGGAACUGCAUUUGUGACUGCAUGGCUGGAGUGCGGCAGAGGGGGAUGGAAUUCCGCGUGUAGCAGUGAAAUGCGUAGAUAUGCGGAGGAACACCGAUGGCGAAGGCAAUCCCCUGGGCCUGCACUGACGCUCAUGCACGAAAGCGUGGGGAGCAAACAGG
RNAcentral lists this ribosomal RNA (253 nucleotides) under uncultured bacterium. RNAcentral's name for it is "partial 16S ribosomal RNA". It matches the Rfam family "Bacterial small subunit ribosomal RNA", at positions 524 to 776 of the family's 1533-position model. The record is from RNAcentral.